ACCUGCGGAGGGAUCAUUGAAUUAUUAAAACCACAAUGUGAACCUCAACGUUCCGUGCCUUGGCUUGCCAGUGGGACAUUCGGCCAAAACCCGUUUGUACUCACAGCUGAGUGGGCAUUGCGACCUGCUCAGUGGCGCCUUGGCAUGACUUUACACCAGUGCUAACCACUGUUAAAACCAAACUCUGAAGUAUUGGUUGCUGGUAACUGGCAAUCUUAACCAAAGACAACUCUCAACAACGGAUAUCUUGGUCUCGCAACGAUGAAGAACGCAGCGAAAUGCGAUACGUAGUGUGAAUUGCAGAAUUCCGUGAACCAUCGAAUCUUUGAACGCAUAUUGCGCUCAAGCCCUCGGGCAAGAGCAUGUCUGCCUCAGCGUCGGUUUACACCCUCACCCCUCCCAACUUGUUGGGUGUGCUUGCUUUAUUGGCAAGCCGUUGGGGUGGAUCUGGCUUCCCCAAUCAGCCAUCAGGCAGAUUGGGUUGGCUGAAGUGCAGAGGCUUAAGCAAGGACCCGAUAUGGGCUUCAACUGGAUAGGUAGCACCGGCUUCUGCCGACUACACGAAGUUGUUGCUUGUGGCUCUUGCUAGAGGCCAAGCAGGAACGUGCCUUUGGCAUGUCUAAACUUUCGACCUGAGCUCAGGCAAGAUUACCCGCUGAACUUAAGCAUAUCAAUAAGCGGAG
Molecule: ribosomal RNA, 683 nt
Filed under: Halochlorella rubescens
Lineage: Eukaryota; Viridiplantae; Chlorophyta; Chlorophyceae; Chlamydomonadales; Asteromonadaceae
Description: eukaryotic LSU rRNA
Rfam family: 5.8S ribosomal RNA (bases 228-380)
Source: RNAcentral